UGCCUGGGCUGUACGCCAGCCAUAGUUGCCCUGAGCCGAUAUUACUAGACUGGGAGAUCUUCCUGAGUUCCGUUUGAGCACGCCUACACUGCACUGUUUAGCUUUGCAGUCCCUAGGAAGCCUUGAGAGCCACAGGUUUCCCACCUUGAACUCACUGGUUCAAGGAGCUGAACAUGGUAGCGGCAGUUCUGGGU
RNAcentral lists this non-coding RNA (194 nucleotides) under uncultured Anaerobiospirillum sp. RNAcentral describes it as "6S / SsrS RNA". It matches the Rfam family "6S / SsrS RNA". From Rfam's summary of the family: E. coli 6S RNA was the first non coding RNA to be sequenced, but its function was unknown until recently. It consists of 184 nucleotides that fold into an extended hairpin structure with a large single-stranded internal bulge. The record is from RNAcentral. Lineage: Bacteria; Pseudomonadati; Pseudomonadota; Gammaproteobacteria; Aeromonadales; Succinivibrionaceae.